This 450-nucleotide ribosomal RNA is filed under the name uncultured bacterium. Its description in RNAcentral is "partial 16S ribosomal RNA". It matches the Rfam family "Bacterial small subunit ribosomal RNA", at positions 354 to 796 of the family's 1533-position model. The record is from RNAcentral.
GUCGAGAAUAAUUCACAAUGGACGAAAGUCUGAUGGUGCAACGCCGCGUGGAGGAUGAAGGUCUUCGGAUUGUAAACUCCUGUCAUCGGGGAGUAAGACCUGGCGGUAAAUAGCCGACAGGGUUGAUAGUACCCGAAGAGGAAGGGACGGCUAACUUCGUGCCAGCAGCCGCGGUAAUACGAAGGUCCCAAGCGUUGUUCGGAAUCACUGGGCGUAAAGGGAGCGUAGGCGGCGUGGUAAGUCAGAUGUGAAAUCCCGGGGCUCAACCCCGGAACGGCAGCCGAUACUGCCAUGCUUGAGGGUUGGAGAGGUAGCUGGAAUUCUCGGUGUAGCAGUGAAAUGCGUGGAUAUCGAGAGGAACACUCGUGGCGAAGGCGAGCUACUGGACAACAUCUGACGCUGAGGCUCGAAGGCCAGGGGAGCAAAAGGGAUUAGAAACCCUUGUAGUCC